Molecule: ribosomal RNA, 447 nt
Filed under: uncultured bacterium
Lineage: Bacteria
Description: bacterial SSU rRNA
Rfam family: Bacterial small subunit ribosomal RNA
Source: RNAcentral
UGGGGAAUUUUGGACAAUGGGCGCAAGCCUGAUCCAGCCAUACCGCGUGAGUGAAGAAGGCCUUCGGGUUGUAAAAUCCUUUCGUGGGGGACGAUAAUGACGGUACCCCAAGAAGAAGCUCCGGCUAACUUCGUGCCAGCAGCCGCGGUAAUACGAAGGGGGCUAGCGUUGUUCGGAUUUACUGGGCGUAAAGCGCGUGUAGGCGGGUCGUUAAGUUGGGGGUGAAAUCCCGAGGCUCAACCUCGGAACUGCCUUCAAAACUGGCGACCUGGACCCAAGUAGAGGCAAGUGGAAUUGCGAGUGUAGAGGUGAAAUUCGUAGAUAUUCGCAGGAACACCAGUGGCGAAGGCGGCUCACUGGACGCGUAUUGACGCUGAGGUACGAAAGCGUGGGGAGCAAACAGGAUUAGAUACCCCCGUAGUCCCUGAGCGGGCUGGCAAGGCGCAU